RNAcentral lists this ribosomal RNA (460 nucleotides) under uncultured bacterium. RNAcentral describes it as "partial 16S ribosomal RNA". It matches the Rfam family "Bacterial small subunit ribosomal RNA", at positions 338 to 795 of the family's 1533-position model. The record is from RNAcentral.
CCUACGGGAGGCAGCAGUGAGGAAUAUUGGUCAAUGGACGCAAGUCUGAACCAGCCAUGCCGCGUGCAGGAAGAAGGCUCUAUGAGUUGUAAACUUCUUUUGUACGAGGGUAAAGGCAUCCACGCGUAUAUGUUUGAAUGUAUCCUACGAAUAAGCAUCGGCUAACUCCGUGCCAGCAGCCGCGGUAAUACGGAGGAUUCGAGCGUUAUCCGGAUUGAUUGGGUUUAAAGGGUGCGUAGGUGGUCGGUUAAGUUAGAGGUGAAAGUCUGUGGCUCAACUUCGGAAUUGCCUUUGAUACUGGUCGACUAGAGAGUAUUUGCGGUAGGCGGAAUGUAUGGUGUAGCGGUGAAAUGCUUAGAGAUCAGACAGAACUCCGAUUGCGAAGGCAGCUUACCAAGCUACAUCUGACGUUGAGGCACGAAAGCGUGGGGAGCAAACAGGAUUAGAUAUCCUGGUAGUC